This is a long non-coding RNA of Homo sapiens (human), 3691 nucleotides long. Ensembl annotates it as ADAMTS9 antisense RNA 2. Its record names the gene ADAMTS9-AS2. NCBI's taxonomy places the organism in Eukaryota, Metazoa, Chordata, Mammalia, Primates, Hominidae. The record is from Ensembl.
GGAAUUGGGGGUUACUAUCUUGGAAUCUAGGGGCACUCCAGGCUCUGGGCUCAGACGGCUGGCUUCUGCCUACCCGAGCCUUAACCUUUCAAGGACCAGAAGGAUUCCAGAGCUCUUGCCCUAGGUCCUGGGGCAGCGAUGACUCACUGCAGCACCCCCUCCCACUUCGCCAAGCUGCCGUCUCCGCCCACCCCCAAACAAUCUCGACAGCGCAUUUCGGGAGCCACGGCUCCGGGCGCUUUGCUGGGGGCUAAAGGGGUUUAUCCCUUUCCUUGAAUCCCAGCAGGCUAGAACUACCCCCUCCCAGUCUUCAGGCUUGCCACGCUCUCCACCCGAUCCUUCCAUUGAAAGGCAGAGAAGGAAGGAUGUGCUUGGGAACUUUAAGACCCACGAACGACAGCGCACUGAUGGAGCAGCCCAGUGUCUGGGGCAAAGUCCUCGAGGUUCAUUCAUUCAGGAAGCCUCUGACCAGCCUUUACCAUGCGCUGAGUGAGAAGCUGAGGAUAAGGAAAGAGCAAGACCCCCAAGAAACCCUGAUGUCUGGCUGAAAGCCGAAGCAUGACGCAACUUUGCUAUAUUUCUCUCCAACAAGGAUUUGUAUAUUUUCGCUUUCUCCUCAAGUAACACCUGGACCUGCUCCUUUCCCUUCAAACGCUGAGGGCUCAGUCUCCAAGUUCCUUUAUGAAACAGGGUGUACCAUCAGAGACGCAGGUAAGAAACCUGAACUGCGUGGCCUCACAUAAACCCCACCACACCUCUGUCCUGGGCUCCUUCCCCGCAACAGGUGUAAAGACAAAAGGCUCAUUGUCCUUUGGAGCCUAUAGGAUAAACAGAAAGAACAUGUCCUUGCCGGUUAAUCUGCCGGUGAUAAAGAGUAUUGUUUUAUCUCCUGCCAUCUCCACGUUCCAAGAGAUGAAUUCUAUUGUGACACAAAGUCUGCUUUGUCCUUCCAACCCACUGAGAUGUUUAAAUUGGCCUCUCAUAUAUUCCUUGGUUGUCACAAUAAGAGCAAUGAGUUGUUAUAAUGUGUUGAGAGGAUCUUUCCCCCAUGACAAGGAGACCAUCAUCUACAGAGAUGCUAUGAUGCUGAGAAAUAAUGUGCUUCUCUUCUGCUCUAAUUUUUUUUAAUUAAGACUUUUAUUUUUUGAGCAGUUAUAGGUUUAGAGAAAAAUUGAAGGGAAAGUACAGAGAGUUCCCAUCUUCUCUCACCCCUUUCAUCUCUGUUUCCAUACGUUUGCUACAAAUGAUGAGCCAACAGCCAUACGUUAUUAACUAAAGUUCACAGUUUACAUUAGGGUUCACUCUUUGCUUGUACAUUCUAUGGGUUUUGUCAAAUAUAUGAUAACCUGUAUCCUCCAUUAUAGUACAAUACAGAAGAAUCUCACUGCCCUAAAAAUCUCCUGUGUUCCUCCUGUGCAUCCCUCCCUCCCAUCCCCUGGGGAACCACUGAUCUUUUUGCUGGCUCCAGUUUUACCUUUUUCAGAAUGUGAGGUAGUUGGGAGUCAUACAGUAUAUGUGUAUAUAUAUAUGUGUAUAUAUAUGUGUAUAUACAUAUAUAUAUACACAUAUAUAUACAUAUAUAUAUACACAUAUAUAUACAUAUAUAUAUAUAUAAAAAAUAGCCUUUUUAGAUGGAUGUCUUUCCCAUAGCAAUAUGCAUUGAACUUUCCUCCAUGACUUUGUGUGGCUCAAUAGUUCAUUUAUUUUUGUUGCUGAAUAGCUUCUGCUUAAUUUUCAAAGUGUUUAAUGUAAGAAAGCGGUAUAGUCCAGGCGCAGUGGCUCAACACCUGUAGUCCCAGCACUCUGGGAGGCGGAGGCGGUGGAUCACUUGAGCCCAGGAGUUUGAGACCAGCCUGGGUAACAUGAUAAAACCUUGUCUCCAUAAAAAAUACAAAAAUUAGCUGGAAAUGGUAGUGUGCGCUUGUAGUCCCAGCUACUCAGGAGGCUGUGGUGGGAGGAUUGCUUAAGCCCAGGAGCUAGAGCCUAUAGUGAGCCAUGAUUGUGCCACCGCACUCCAGCAUGGGUGACAGAGUGAGAUCCUGUCUCAGAAAAAAAAAAAAAACAAAAAAAAAAAAACCCAGAAACAACAACAACAAAACGGCAGUAUAUUUGUCCCCACCCUCAUCUCUUCCUUUAUGGGUAUUUCCCUAAUUGUGAGAGAUUACCUGUGUUUUAAAAGGUGGCUUACUGUAUGCAUUGAGAAAAUUAAAUGACAUUUCAGACCAGUUCCAAGUACCUUUUGCAAAGCUAGAGAAAUAAAAGUGAAUUCUAGUAUCUCAAUCACAGAGUAAAACUAGAGAAGGUCUGUUGGGCUUCAGGCAACAUUGGUGUUCUUGGCAAUUUUACCCAGAAGAAUUUAUAUUCCUAUAAUUAGUAUUUCCUCCAAAAUUAAUGAUCGCCUGAUUGAUUUAUUUCUUUCCUAGCAGCACUGGAGGUCCCACUUACCUAGUUAGUAAUAACAUUUGCUCUUAAUACAUGAGUCAGUUUUCUUUUUUCCUUUUUUCUUUUUCUUUUUUUUUUUACAUUUCCAAAACAGAAUACCCUGCAGGAAGAAUGGGAUGGCAGUGGAGGAGCUCUCACUCACAUAUCAUGUAAUGUGGGAGGCAGGGCUAUGCGAUAGUCAUAAAGGGUGCAGGCUUCAGAAUCAAAGGAGUGAGGUUGGUGUCCCUGCUUACGCCCUACUAGCUGAGUGUCCUUCAGGUCAUUUCUCCUCUCUCAGACUCAGUGGACUGUUUCCUAAAGCACAGCUCAUAACAGGCUGUACGUGGUAAGACCGUCGGGAAGAUGGAAGGAGAUCAGUCAUCCCUAGAGAGCAUUAAGCACAGUCUCAGCCACAAAACACUUCCUCAAACAUGAUGCAAGCCACACAGGGCAUUUGGCCUGCGUAUAAAGGACAUACUGAGGACAGUGUAGAUGCUCAAGAAAUUAGUCCUGAAUGAUCAAGGGGGGAAAGAGAGGGUUAAUCUUAUCAUAUGUGGGCUCUCAGAGAACACAGAGCUAUAGAAGGAAGCUGACUUAAUAAGGGUCAAGCAUGAUAGGGGAGAUUAGGAACCGUGUGCAAUCUAAUGGAACCACAGAUAACACCUUCUAGUACUUUUUCCCUUUGGCCCUGCCCCUGCUGAGACAGGGCCACUGCUAAUAACUCACAUUCUUCUCUUCUCUCCUCUCAAAAAGCCCAUUUCCUGAGCAAGUAUAUGCUUUGGUAAGGUCAUUAGCGGUCAACAUGGUUCCCAAGUUUAGUGAAUACUUUCAGAUAAAACUGAAGGGUACAAAAUCACUCUUUCCUCUCUCCCUCUCCUUGUCCUACCUCUCACAAUAAAACGACUUAUCUACUAAUUACAAAGACCUCAAUAGUGGAAGAAAUCCAUAUCCUACAUAACAUGGAGAGCUAGCUAUAUACCCUUGGCAUCAGUUUUUAUCCUACUUUUACUUUUUACUGACUUUCAUUUACUGAACAAAGCCUCCUUUGCCAAAGGCAGGGUAAAUAAACUCAGUCACAUCCUGUCUUCCUUACAUCUUUGUUUAUCCAUAAACUGUCGAAGAUACAGAUGAAAAUCCACUAAAGCAUGCUUGAAGCGGUUACACGAAGGCCAAAUAAGAUGGGAAUGGAAAUGCCUGAUGUUAAGGGAAGAUACUACCUAAAAUGAUACUGAGCUGGCCAGUGUAAUGACAUGAAAACAAAACAAAAAAA